This is an RNA transcript of Tympanuchus pallidicinctus (lesser prairie-chicken), 3593 nucleotides long. It is a transcript of the gene named apoptosis-inducing factor 3-like, with no coding region annotated. The record is from RefSeq and is a predicted model, not a curated record. The transcript has 17 exons. Lineage: Eukaryota; Metazoa; Chordata; Aves; Galliformes; Phasianidae.
AGCGGGACGAGAUCCUUUCACCACCACCUUUGCACCAGCGGAGGUGGGGAUUCUGCUUUGCUUUUCGAGUCCUUUGCCAGGCUGUUGGGUUGCAUCCAGCAGCCUCUCAGCCCCACUGGGUCAAUGCCACCAGGCAGCACUGUGUCCCACCUGGCUCUCACCCCUGUACCUUUGCACACUGCAGCUCCCAUCCCGAAGCAAACACUUCCCAGCCGUUUCUGCUGAGUCAGAGAAUGCCUCUGUGAGGGCCGCUGCCGCUUCUCCACGUGGGAAUGCGCUCCCGGGGAAUAAUUACAGGGAGUUUAAACAGGGCCGUUUGGCAGCCAAAUUGCUUCACGCUCAGGCGCCUGGCCAGCAAGGCAGAGUCCAAAAGCAGCUUUUUGGCACUGCGAGAAAACACUCUGCACCUGCACUCAUCGUGGGUGUGCAGCACCCAUGGGCUGGGAGCGCUCCUGGCAUCGCAGCACCCAGUGUCCUUAUUGCUCUGUGGGCCCAACAGAGCAGAGCACUUUGCUGGGUGCAGUUGUGCACUUACUGAGCAUCCACGUGCACAUCCUCUUCUCAGGGUUGUGCCCAUCUCCAGGAGGAUUUUCAGCCCCCCUGCGCUGGGUUUGGGAGCACGUUGCAUGGCAGGAUGCUGCUGCCUGUGAUGGGGAUGAUGACAGAGCCGGGGAUUAGUCCCCACUCUGCGUUUCGAGGCAUAUUUAAAGGUUUUGAAACAUCUUGACUGUGAAAUAGAGAUAAGAACUGGAGGAGACGCAAACUGCGGAGGCGUCACUCCCAUUUUUUUCACAGCUCCCACCCGGCUGCAAAAAAUAGCGCCAUCAGCAGCACCCAACACUGUGCAACACACACACAGCGUGGACACAGCGGUGCUGGGACGCCCAGAAACCAGCACACUCUCACACAGGAGCAGAGCAAAGUGCAGCAAAACCUGCAGGCACCAAGGGACGGCUCUUCCCACUGAGAAACAGGAGGAGUUUCUCAGCGUUGACUCAGUUUGUUUCCGAAGCGGCACAGCCCUCAGACCACACCUGCCCCAUCAGCCCUAAGUGCCCUUAAUUCCUCGGCGAGCAGUUUCUAAACCUGAAUUAGGAAGGAAAAAAAAAAAAAAAACAAUAAAUAAAAAGGAAUGAAGUGGUGGAGUGAUUGCAGUAAUCAGAUACGCCGCGUCCCCGCUGCCGCCCAUCGGCCGGGGGUGGUGGGCACGGCCACGAGAGCAUCGCCCAGCGUGGGAUGGGGGAGCUGGCUUUGGGGACAGACACACGGACGGGAAAGAGCUACAUGGAUGGUGGCAGCUCCCGACGAGGCUAGUGGAAAAUCUCCAAACACACAGCAAACAGCCGAGGGGCCGUGCAACAGCAAGAACCAAGAUUUGUUGCUCCUUCUUCAUCCACUUCAGGCAGGGAUUGCUACUUUUCAUUACGAUUAUUAUCCUAAUUCCUUCUUUACUUACUCCAGUACCACCUCAUCACCAGCACAGGAGGGAUUUUGGAGGUGCAGACCCCAAGCCUUGUUGACAGCAUCAUGCCCAGGGUGGCCAUAAAUAAUUUCAAAUCAUUUUACUGAUUUCUGGCACAACUGCUGGAAGCCCUCCUUGCUUACACACAAUACGAUCUGAGUUCAAUGGUUUGCCAUAUGCAAACAAGAGCUGGGUGAAAUCAGAGAAAGAAUGGCUGAAUGGAUGGGUUGGGAGACCAAAAAAUGAAAUAAAAUAGGGAAAAUGUGUACUUUCUGCUGAUCAUAGCCUUUUUAUUUCAGCUGAGCGUGGAACCCUCUGAGAGGCACUGGCUGCACAUUUUGGGGUGGCAUCUCAGAGGCACAGAGGCCGACCCUUCACUGUGUCCAUCAACAUGGAUUGCAAUGACAUCGUCACUGCAGAGGUCUGCAAGGAGGACGACAUUGGGGAUGGAGAACUCUGUGAAGUGAUGGUGGCUGGCUACCCGGUGCUGCUGGUGAGGAACAAGAUGGAGUUCAGCGCCCUGGGCAGUAGGUGCCCACACUACGGCGCGCCGCUCAGCAAAGGGGUCUUGAGAGGGCACAGGCUGCGCUGCCCCUGGCACGGCUCCUGCUUCAACAUCCGAACUGGAGAUAUUGAGGAGUACCCUUCUCUGGACUGCCUGCCUUGCUUUAAGGUAACAGUGGAAGAUGGAAAGGUGUUUGUAACAGCUAAAAAGAAGGAUCUUGAAAGCAGCCUGAGGGUGAAGGACAUGAGCAAACGAUGCCUUCUCAACCGGAACACCAUGCUUCUCCUGGGGGGAGGUGUGGCUGCCCUGACCUGUGCAGAGACACUUCGCCAAGAGGGCUUUACUGGCAGGAUCAUCAUGGCCACCAAAGAGAAACAUGCUCCGUAUGACAAGUCCAAACUGAGCAAGGAAAUGAAUUUAAAAGCUGAGGACAUCUACCUGAGGAAGCCUGAAUUCCUGUGCGCUCAUGGCAUAGAGCUCUGGACAGAGAAAGAGGCAGCGUCAGUGGAUUUCCAGAAGCAGAAGGUUUGCUUCAUGGACGGAUCCUCUCAGAAGUACAACCAGCUGCUCAUUGCAACAGGUGGACACUCCAGCUUCCUCGAAGUCCCAGGUGCAGACCUGCAGAACGUGUGUCAUCUUCAAACCCCAGAGGAUUCUAGCAAGGUCUUAGAGCUGGCAACUGGGAAGAAUCUUGUGAUUGUAGGAGCUUCAUUCGUAGGAAUGGAGGCAGCUGCCUUCCUCUCAGACAAGGCUGCUGUCAUCUCGGUGGUGGAAAAACAUGAGUUCCCUUUCCAGAAGACGCUGGGUCCUCAGGUUGGAGGCGUUGUCUUGAAGAUGCUGCAAAGUAAGGGAGUCAAGUUUUACAUGAAAAAAGAACUCCAUGAGCUGAAAGGGAAGGAUGGAAAGGUCACAGAAGCCAUUCUUGCCAGUGGAGAAAAACUACCUGCGGAUGUGGUGGUGGUGGGAAUAGGGGUGACCCCCAACUCUUCAUUUCUGAAGGGCACCUCCAUUGCCAAAGACAAAAGUGGUGCCAUCCUGGUGGACCUGCACAUGCAAACCAACAUCCCAAACGUCUUUGCUGGGGGGGAUGUUGUCUCCUUUCCCGUAGCGCUGCUCAAUGGGAACCACUCCAGCAUCCAUCACCAACAGGUGGCCGAGGCCCAUGGUUCCAUCGCUGCCUUUAACAUGUUGAAGAAACAGAAGGAGUUGCACACCGUCCCCUUCUUCUGGACCACGAUGCUUGGGAGAAGUAUCCACUAUGCAGGUAGGAUGGGGCAGAGAGAGAGGAAUGAAAGGGCACAAUUGUCCCUCUCCAAGCCAAGGAGGAAUGUGGGACCACGUGCAGUCCUGCUCCUCUGGGUCAGCUCUGCUCAGCCAGAGUCUCUCUGCCUGCUCCCAGCCCCAUGCAGAGUCACAUCCCCUCUCCUUCUUCCUGCACUCCAGGUGCCAUUGAGGUGGGGUGGGUGGCACUGCUGUACCAGAGCUUCCUGACCCCACGACCAUCUUCUGCAGGCUGCGGUAAGGGCUACACAGACACCGUUCUGAAGGGCAGCUUGGAGCAACAGAAGUUCCUCAUCUUCUACCUUAAGGAUGGCUUUGUGACAGCAGCUGCCAGCCUAAACUGUG